AAAAUUGAACAUACUAACUCAUAUAUCCCUUGAAUAUGGCAAGGAGUAUCUACCGGAAACCAAAAAUUUCUGACUAUGAGUAAAAUUAG
Molecule: non-coding RNA, 89 nt
Filed under: Clostridium senegalense
Lineage: Bacteria; Bacillati; Bacillota; Clostridia; Eubacteriales; Clostridiaceae
Description: Purine riboswitch
Rfam family: Purine riboswitch aptamer
About the family: Riboswitches are metabolite binding domains within certain messenger RNAs that serve as precision sensors for their corresponding targets. Allosteric rearrangement of mRNA structure is mediated by ligand binding, and this results in modulation of gene expression. A class of riboswitches that selectively recognises guanine and becomes saturated at concentrations as low as 5 nM.
Source: RNAcentral